AGUGGGGAAUUUUGGACAAUGGGGGAAACCCUGAUCCAGCCAUGCCGCGUGCAGGAUGAAGGCCUUCGGGUUGUAAACUGCUUUUGUACGGAACGAAAAGUCUCUUCCUAAUACGAAGGGGUGAUGACGGUACCGUAAGAAUAAGCACCGGCUAACUACGUGCCAGCAGCCGCGGUAAUACGUAGGGUGCAAGCGUUAAUCGGAAUUACUGGGCGUAAAGCGUGCGCAGGCGGUUAUGUAAGACAGAGGUGAAAUCCCCGGGCUCAACCUGGGAACUGCCUUUGUGACUGCAUAGCUGGAGUACGGCAGAGGGGGAUGGAAUUCCGCGUGUAGCAGUGAAAUGCGUAGAUAUGCGGAGGAACACCGAUGGCGAAGGCAAUCCCCUGGGCCUGUACUGACGCUCAUGCACGAAAGCGUGGGGAGCAAACAGGAUUAGAUACCCUGGUAGUCCACGCCCUAAACGAUGUCAACUGGUUGUUGGGUCUUAACUGACUCAGUAACGAAGCUAACGCGUGAAGUUGACCGCCUGGGGAGUACGGCCGCAAGGUUGAAACUCAA
This 558-nucleotide ribosomal RNA is filed under the name uncultured bacterium. RNAcentral's name for it is "bacterial SSU rRNA". It matches the Rfam family "Bacterial small subunit ribosomal RNA", at positions 353 to 904 of the family's 1533-position model. The record is from RNAcentral.